UGCUUAAUGCUCUAACCGUGGCAAGCUUGGCUGGAAGGCAGGCUACACAUAGCAGGGAAGAGGGUAGACUCCAUGAGGAGAUGGGGCAGGAUCCAGGGUGUGGUAGCCGACUUAGAGCACACUUCCCUUGAAAAUAUGGGACAAAUAUUUAAUAACGAACAUUGGUCGGAGCCACAAGUGAGUAAAGAGCUAGAUGUUUCCAGGCGGUCGCGGGUCUCAGCGUUUGGGUAAUGGCAGCCCUCUGCUUCCAGAGCGUCUGUCCAAUUCGCAGCACAACUUCACAGGGCAGAGGGAUCAAAGUCCGAGAGUUGACAAGCCAGUAAAACUUAAGAAAGGCACCCGCGUCUCAGCCAACUGGGCUGGGAUCCACCACUAGGAUUUAGUUCUUGCAAGAGAGUCAGACUCCAACUCCGGGACAGAAGCAGAGAUGCUCUCUAUAAAGCCGUGGAGGGGAAAAACAGGCUCAGCCCUUGGAAACAUGAGCCUGGCUUCAACUCGACUCUUGGUCGCCGCCGUAUACCUGACUUGGUGAAGAAGAAAGGAAAGCAAACAUCUCCCAGCAGAAUGAUCGAGCGCAAAGCGUUCAAAACUUGCAAUUCUGACAGACAGUCCUCGAGGGAAGGUGGGGUUCAUGGUUUUUGAGGGGUUUUUGCCCAUCGUGAUAUGGGAAGGACAGAAGAGAAGUUCAGGUCAGGGUGGUCAAAGCUGCUGAUACUGCCACAGACCAGUGUGCAGAGUGGUCAGGACCCUGAGCUGGGGGAAUGGUCAAAGGCACACUCCUAGAGACCAACUUGUGCUCGCUGAUCCCUGCCUCUUGAAAGUUCCACAGCCUCUCAGAAUAGUGCCCCCUGCUGGGAAGGAAGAAUUCAAGACGUGAACCUGGCGGGUGGGGCUUGGGGGGUGGAUUUCAGAUUGAAACUAGAACAGAAGGCCCAGAAAAGGGAGGUCGGUGAGAGUCUGUAUUCUUAAUUCAGGACGGCUUACAAAUAUGACUAGUUAAUUUAUAAGAUGUAAACUAAUACUUAAAAAAAAAAGAAUUUAGCAAACCAGACAGGGAAUUUCAGGACGGCAGUGACCUUUGUGCUUGCUGAGGCAUCGUAGGCGACAGUCUGCUGGAGUCCGGGAAGCCAUCUGCAGCUAGAGGGACCCUGCAGCUAGGGGGACAAUGAGCUGUCUGUCUCCUCCUCUACCUCCAGCUCUCCCUUGAGGGUUUGCGUUGGCAGAAUCUAAGCAGGAAUUUCUGGGAAAUUUAGUUUCCAGAUGUUACAGCCCCUGUGAGUCAGGACACAGAAGGGGAAAGAGCUACCAUGGCCACGGGGCCCAAGUGAAAGACAUCAAUUAUUUUAGGGUGAUGUCAGAGAAAGUGGGUCGCAGUGGAAAUGGAGCUCGGCGAGGCCGAGUCUGGGUGGAAGGACUGUGGGGAAGCAACACCCCUGCAGACAGGAACUGUGAGACACGCUAGGCAGAGUGACAAGGAGGUUGAAAUGCCACAACCUUCGAGAGUGACAGAUGCUCUUUGUUUUAAAGAGCUCAGUAGCGUGUAUAUAGAAAAUAAAGGCACCGUGGAUGGGACAAGGGGACUGUAAGAACCUGUCCCCCACUCUUGCUGAUAGUUUGAAAGCAUUCUGUGAAAUAAAUAUUCUUCUUCCAGACUAGGCAAAAAUGAAAACGGUUAGCAUUUGGACCUCGGUGUUGGAACUGGAGGUUAGAAGGUAGAAAUGUGGGAGGGAGUUAGACCAGAAGUUGACGGAACUUGGCAAGGUGAGUAGCAGGAGGAAGGCAGGAGCAACCAGGACUCCACAGUCUGUGGGGUGCGUAGCAUUGUGAACGGGCACCAUGAAUUGAGACAUGGCCAUAAAAAAAGUCGGAGCAGUUCCCUUUGGGAUGUGUUCUGUGUUAGGAUGUGAAACUACAGACAUCAAUAAUCAAGACAGAGGUGGUGGUGUGUCGUGUCCCCCCCACCCGCUUCCUGCUGAACAUACAUGACACCUUUGCAUACAAAGGGAAGUAUAACUCUCUACGUGUGAGUUUGGCCACAGUCACAGAAAAGAACUGAUUGAUAUCUAUCAAAGAUAUUUCCCCAUCUUAUUCCCCGAUGGAGCUUGAUGCUUGAAAUCCAACACGUGGUACUUCAAACUCCUGGCUUUAAGUUAAGGCACCUUAAAGGUUUGUGCUGCCCAUCUACCUGUGGUGUGGCGUGCUGAGACUUGCUUUGUCACACGUACCCUGAAAACAAUCAGUGCAUAUACACACACUAGUGCUGCUAUAUGGCCAGAGCUCGCAGCAUGGCCUAUUACAUGAUUUUUCCAGAAAGAUGAUAACAGGCAUCACACCAGACAGGGCAUCAGUGUCAGGUCACAGAAAUUACUCUACUAAAUUCCAGCUUGAGGAACCAAGGAAUCUUUUGGGGUUAUAUACAGCAACGUAGCAAGGGGCUCCUUGAAAGAACCUGAGUGGCUUAAAAGCAGCUGUACCCCCCAAAAUGACCCACCAGAGCUUCGUCCCCGGGACUCCCCACCUAUCUCAAAGGUAACCCCUUAGAGAGUCUCGUCUUGAGCAACAAUUAAUUAUUGCUUAUAUAACCCAGAGUGGGGCCUGUCCUGUUAACUUCUGCUGUCAACCUGACAGCCCAGAGUCAUCUCAGAGAGGCUCCAUUGGGGAAUCAGAUCGAUCAAAUUGUCCUGUGGCCAUGUCUAUGAGGAAGUCUUUUAGUUGUGGAUUAUUGUCAGAGGGCACAGUCCCCUGUGGGUGGUGCCAUUCCUUAGCAGAUGGUUCUGGGCUAUCUAACAAAGCUGGCUGAGCAUGAGGGAGAGAGAGAGAGUAAACCAGCAUGCAGUGUUCCUCCAUGCAACUCUGCUCCAGAUUCCUGCCUCUCGAGAGGUCCUGCACCGGCUUCCCUCCGAGAUGAACUUCUACCUGGGAGUGUCUAUUGGAACAAACACUUCCCUCCCCAAGUUGUUUUUGGUCAUGGUGUUUAACAGAAUGACAUAAAGGAAGCUAGAGGAAGGCAUAUUCCUACUAAGUCUUGUAAGCUUCCUGGGCCUGCUAAAUUUUAUGGGUUUGUGAGUUUUGCUAGCUCCUUGUGUCUUAUGAGCUCCUGUCCUCUCUUAACUCUCCAGGAGGACAUGUUUCAGUUCGGGGGCAAUAGCUACACAGUAGUGCCCAUGAUGAGCCAGAGCUAGAAGAAUCACUGGCCCCUACAUAAAGCCCUGAUUGUCAGAGAGACAGGAGGUCUUCAUGAGUCUGGGGAAACUUGCUGUGACUUACUUUGUCCUCUGUCUUCAUAGGCUCCCUGCCUGCUCUAUCUAUUUUUUCUUCUAUUUCUUUAACAACUUGAUUGUUGAAACCCCAGGAAAUUCUAAGCCCAUUUCUCCCAUCAAAAUGAAAGGAACUUAUUGAUGAAAUCAUGAGUCCAUUAAGAUUGAGUGGUACAUCUCCAUUAGGGCCACGAUUUGCAUCAUAAAACAGAUUAACAUGAAAGGUGGAAGCACUCUUCUUGGAGAGGAAAUGCACAAAAGAAUCUUUUAGGGCCUUCCGAAUUAAAGCAGAAUAAACACUCCACCAGGCACAGAGAGAAGGCAAGGGACAGGGGGGAAGGUUUCGACAGAGCCAAGCAAGACUGAAGACCUGCAGCCACAUAAGUGGUGUGACUCAUAGCUUAGUUGUGGGUAGACAGCAGAAGCCAGGGAACAUUCGGAGCUGAAAGAAACACUCGUAUUAAACAUUCUGCUGGAGCAAGGGUUCCCACUGCAGUGUGCUUACAGAGCCCUGCUCUGAAGUAUGCCUGGGCCGGCCGUUCUCGCUACUUUAAUGGAGUUGCUGAGAACCACCCUCUUGCCCGGCUAAGAGCCUGUGGUUCUGAGUGGAUGAGAGUGCUGUUCUCCUCAACCUUCCUCAGAAUGUUGAGAGGACAGUUCUGUGACAAGAGCUUUGCCAUGUGGCCUCCCCAGGAAUCUAGAUUGUUCCGGAUGAUCAAAGGAUAAUGAAAUAAACCCUACAUUAAUAGAGCACAGGGUUCUGGGAGUGUGUUGGGGGGCGGGGAUGACGUCUUCUCUUGCCUAUCAAGCUGGUGCUGUUUGUGUGUGUAUCACUUGCUUAGCAGCAUCAAGACCUUUAGCUAAAAGGAGAGGCUGGCUUAAAGGAUUGGAGCACCCGGGGGAUUCGCUGUUUGAUGGAAACAGGUCAGAGAAAGGAGCAAGAGAAUGAUCGGCCGUCUUACUCUUCUGGUGGGGUCUCUUUGCUCAUGUGUGAGAGGCAGUUCAUGCCAGCUCACAGACAUCAAGCAGAAUUUCUUCCUAAUUCCCCCACUCAGUGACUUCAUAGGAGGUUGGCACUGGCUAGGAUAGGAAUGUUUACAUUGCCAGAAUUGGCAGAUGUCACAAACCAGGGUGUUUUUUUCUCCCCUACUGUGGUUGCCUUGUUUUCUCCCCUAGAAAAUUUAUCGUUAAAUAUUUAUCAGCAUUCUCCUGGAAUUUGAUUGAAAGAUAAUUUGGCCAUCAAAGCAGCCACACGGCCUUCUGAAACUCUGGCUGAAAGCUUUCUGAGCACAGCAAGGGUCAAACAAGUGACCGGGCGGAGCUCGGCGGAAUUUGGAAAAAGGGAAAGGAUUCUUGGAAUACACGCCUGUGUGACAUACUCACCCAUGAACACUCACCUGAGGGUCAGUGCUCACAGGGUGACAUGGUAGGCACCUCUCGAAAGUUGUAAAGGGACCUUUAGGAAUGUGGCCACGAGAUGGACACUACUUAGACAUGAUGUGGGCCUCUUUCUCAUUGGACCAGGGACUUCAGAUAAAGGAUAAGACCCAGGAGGCUGGGCCUCAGAAGGACCAAUUUACAGGGCAUUUUGAUAGUGAACCAAUUAACCUCUUCUACCUAUAGGGCUCAGACAAAAGAUAGUUGGGCUCAGGAUGCAUUCUGGGAGCACUGCCGCGUGUGGGUGGUAAUGAUGUGUCAGAAGUUCUUUUUCAGAUGGGCUAAGUAGACUCCAGUCCUAUAUGGAAUGUCCGAGGCUGUGUCAGAGAAACACAAAGGUCUCUUCUGCCUCCCUUCCUGGGUUCUAGGAUUCUUCUGAAAAGAACCCUAAUGCUAACUAGAAGGUAGAAGAGUGGAAGCCCAGACACAGAUUAAGGAGUACACAUAGGUUCGGCCACAAUGGAGAUCAGGGAGGGAGGAUCUUCAACAAACUAAGAAAGAACCAGUGUAUGGCCCACUACAGCGUGUCCAGGUUAUUUACCUGAGGGACCGUAAGCCAACCUAUCACCCUGUGAACACUGCUGUGAGUUCACAAUUAUGGCUGAGUUAUGUACGGAAGCAAGAGAAGCGUCCGUCAACAAAUGACAGGGUUAAAUGGAGUGUGUGUGUAUAACGAAACUUUAGUCAGCUCUAAGGAAGAGCAGAAUCAUGCUGUUUGUUGAAGAACGGGUGUGACAGAAACUAACUAUAUGAAAUAAGUCAGCAAGAUAAGUGUCACACAUUUUUAGUCCUUUUGCACAUCCUUGGGUACACACACACACACAACACACCCUCACACACACUAAGGAAAAAAAAACUGGCUUCGAAGGACAAAAGGAGGCUACGAAAGGAAACAUAUUUGUUCGACUUUGAGGAAGAAGCCGAUUUGUCUGAAGGAGUCUGGGGACAGCCCUGCCUUUGUCUGAUAAGCCCUCUCUGCAAGUCCCUGUAAGCCAUAUGUGUUUAAGAUGUAGAGGAUCAGCUCAGGGGAUCAGCGCACAGCCCUGGAAGCGUUAGCAUGCGCUUCCUACUUUAAGCAGCUGUCUGGCAAAAUGGUCUGUCACUGUCAUAGGGCAGCCGAGCAUGAGAGUGCUUUGACAGUGCGAGUCUGUCUCAAUCCUUCCACCCAAACUCAAAGGAACGUCUUCCCAAAGGCCGAGGGCAGCCAUUCUUUGCAGCGGGAGUAAGCUCGGCUGAUGGCUUAAUCUGGAAGCCAAUUGGCUUUCAAGGAGACAUAACUCACUCCAUAUUUAGAGAAACGUUUGGAGUCUAUUGGGACUGCUUCGGGAGGGGAUUUGAAAACUUUGAAAAGGAACCUGAUAUGAACACUGACCGACUGGAAGACCUUCUGUCUUUCACAAGUGGGCACGUACCUGGCAGCCCUUGCUGGCUUGGCUUCAACUCCUAGAUCCCGGAUCAUGGAAGCCCUGGAGGGUCUGGCAGUUGGUUCCGGAGUCAACAAGAAGCAGGCAGCCACCACCAACCUAGAAGUAUUAUCAUGGUUUAACAGCAAUCCAAGCAAUGUCUCUGCUCCUGAAAUGGAACCUGGGCCUUGUUGGACGACGUGGGACAAAGGAGAGAGGCAGGUCCACUGUGGGGUCUGUCUGUGUUUAUAUGGUUGGCAGAGCGCGCUUUGAUGUCACCCUGAUGACGUCUGUCAUCUUCCCCACACCUGCUAUGGCAUGGCUGCCUUCAGUCACAAGCCUGAUUCACAGCACACUCUAUGUUUAGCAGCGCUCUGAGAAGGAUUCCAGUCUGCCUUCAGCCCUAAAUAGCUACAAAUAUCAGAGUAGCAGCGGCAGCCCUUCAAAGGCCUUUUUGGGAAGUGUCAUGCCAGAGAUGGGGUGACACAGAGGAGCCCCAGAAAGAAGCAAGAUGUCACCUGGAAACUGGAGGGAAAAAGAAGAAAUGAACCAGCGUCGACUGCUAAGAAGGUGAAGAAAUGAACCAGCGUCGACUGCUAAGAAGGUGAAGAAAUGAACCAGCGUCGACUGCUAAGAAGGUGAUAAAGUUGACCAUCUGUUCCUCAGUUACUUAUAGCACGGUCAUCGUCUGGAAAGUUGGAGACAAUGACUAGAAGACAAUGAAGGGACGAAAUACAAGGUGUCUGGUGCAGACUGAUAUGGCCAGGCACGUAAUUAAUGCCUCUUUAAAAGUGAACAAAAGCAGAGCAAGAAGUAAAAAACAAAGCGAUUACGCAUCAGCUGCUGAAACACUGUGUCCUAGCUUAAACGAGGCUGGAAAAAUGCUUCCACAGAGAACAGGAUGCUUGAGGACUCUAGCCUUUUCCCGGAGGGGCUGUAAUGGCUCCAGCCUCGCAGACGGGCUGCGCAGCGGCGCCAGCGAGCUCUGCUGCCCCCUGCUGGACGGAACGCGGGACUCGCGCCAGCCAGUCUGCGAGGCUCCCGCUGGCUCCCUGGGGACCCAGCACUCCUCCAGCAGGUUAUGCAACACCAGCUCACUUCAGGAAAGGAAACCAUCGACUUCAUGGAGCUUCCAAUGAGCCAGUGUUAAGAGUAAGGCGGAGACUAGAAAAUAGCACGCAUGUGUCCAGCCUUGGAGGCGCGUGUGUAAGGGGAGUGGACUAACUGAAAGGAAGCAGUGUAAAGAUUAGCCGCAGGGUAUGGUCUUCUAGUGACGCCGCACCUCAUGACCAGCUACUGACAUGGUGGGCGGCAGUGCUUCAUUUCCGGAGUGCAGCCCCAUCUUCUAGCUCCUUCAAGGUUAUAGAUCUUCUAGCUGUGUGACCUUCAAGGUUUUAAACUCUGACUGUUGGUGAACCAUAUCCAGUGGGUUGGUCUUUCCUAACAAGACACACAGUGAAGGCUUUAUAGAGAGGCAUAUUAAGGUGGAGCAGGGCUAUUCCCUCCUUUUACUGUUCAGAAAUAAUAAACAUUUUGAUAUUUCCAGUAUUCGUCCGGAUCACCAUAUCUUUAGAGGAAUUUUUCUUCUAUUUGGACCGACCCUUUGGAGUUUUACCUUUUGGGGUUUUACUGAUGUGAAGGAGGGGUCGUGGUGGUGGUGGCCGUUCACUCUUGUCCAAUCUGGAUGUGGAUUAAUGGUGUUUUCCAGCCCAUAAAAUAUUUUAAAAUUUUUAUUUCACACGGGGUUAUGAAGCAUCGCUGCCUUUACGACAGCUCGACUGGAACUUUCAAAAUUAAAAAUGACAGGAACUGAAAGUUGUCAUAGAGAUUCCAAGGCACUACCAUUCUCUUAUUCUGUAGACGAUGUUCUGCGCUUUUCAACCAAGUAAGAAUAGAUCUCUGGAGAUGAGAAGAUGACCACCACGUGUCUUUUCCCAGUCUUUGGAUGGUACCUUUCACAUCCUGGAAGGGAGAAAGCUGAGUCACCACCACAGAGUCUGAACCUGAUUAUCAUAUUCAGUAGCCACUGCCAAGCAUACAUUAGCACCUCUCCCAGAACUACUCUCUGUCUGCACAGGGCACCUGGACACUCUGCUCAUGAGAAUGCAAUACCCAACAUGAGUCAAGAAAGCCCAAAGACGUCCACCCUGAUCUGGUGAUAGAUGACACCUGACCUCCUUAGCCAAUAUGCAGACUGAGACUGUAUCUGGCAGAGUUUCUGGCUGCAGAACCCUUGACCGUCAGAAGUGAAUGAAAGUUUGGUAAGCUGUGCUGGAGCACUGCCAGUGUGCGGUGCUGUGAGCCGCCCUCACAGGAUUUCAGGGAAGAACUGUGGGGAGGAGGCACUGAAUGCCUUAGAUGCAGCGGGGAGAAAACCCUUCCUCCUACACCCUUAAAACAGAGCGAAAGGAAACAAAAUAAUAAAACUAAUAACAAAAUAACAAAAUAAUACCCCCCCACAAGCUACACCCUUACUUUUCUGGUCUCACCUGCUGCUUUCCUUAGGAGAUAGUUUCAAUGGAAAAGAUUCUAAAGUUCAUGUGUUCGAAAGCUUCUUGACCUUGCAGUUGGCGAUGAUCUUUGGGGGGUUAUGGAACUGUGGCUGGGGUCACUGGGAGCCAGGUCUUUGGGGUCACAGCUCUGCCCUAUUUUUGGACCCAGUCUCUCUGUGUGUCAUCUGUCAAGAAGUGAGCAAGCUCUCCUACACUCCUUCUGCUCUGGUUCACCUCCACCAAUACCCGUACUCUCAACCCAGGGGUGAAAAUUCCUUUCUCCUUCAGUGUGCUUCUUCCUGGGCAUUUGGUAGCAGCAAUUUCAAAAGCUAAGCUACCUUACUAGUAUGAGCUUCAGUGGUUUACACCAGGUAGGUCGAGGGAAAGGUAAAACUUGGGAUUUGCUCAAAACAUGGCCACACACACACACACACCUGAUGCUCGACACACACAGCCAGGCACACCUGAUGCCAGAAAGGGUGAGGUGGGGAUGUCAGAAAGUCCUGGGAGGAACCCAGGCUGUGUUCUAGGCACAUAUCUAUAGCUCAUAGUUUGUGUGUUCUUGGAAGACACAGAAGUAUUAUAAACUCGUAAAUAGAAUUGCAUAAGACUGUACUCAUGACAUAAAUGAUUCCUCACACGAGCGAACCAAGAAAGCCCAAAGAUGUCUACCCUGAACUGCAGAUAAAACAUCAUCAGACCUCCUUAGUUAGACGCCGCUGACACACAUUCGGAGAUCUUAUCCGGCAGAGUUUCCAGGCGUACGGAAGGUGGAUUGAGUUCAGGAUGAAUGAACUAUUGAACAGUGGAGCUCAGGGAGUGGGCGAUGGAUUAGUGGACAAAAAUAGCCCUGGACACCUGUGUAAAUCCUUGGUGAUCUGAUCUACGCCAUAAAAACCAGACAGUGGGCAUCUGUAACUCAUAAUAAGUCCUUUCUAACAUCACUGAGGUUAUCUUAAAGAGCCUCUUGGUGCUCCCCUCCCCCAUAGCUUUAGAGUGGGGCCAGGCUGCUAACUGCGCCAACGCUGCAUUUGGAGGGCUGUGACUUGCAGCCUGACCUCCUGGAACUGAGUGGAGCAGCAAUCAACAAUGACUUUGUAAGCUGAUCCCUGCUACAGACCGUACAAAAUCCUCAACGGGGAGAGCUGCUUACCUACAGAGGUCACAGGAGCUCUGUGCUCACCACCCCUAAUGCCCGUGUUCCUUGAAGUUGGCUGUUCCUGAGUUGUAUCUUUUGAAGUGAACUGACAUUGAUUCCUUUGGAAACUUGGAUGGCAUCGUUUAAUCUGUGGAGUGGGAAAAAGGAGACGAAGGAAGGAAGAGGAGAGGAGACCAUAAACUCCCAAAGAGCCAUGCCCUGUGUACCAGGGUUGCAGACCUAACAUUCUAAUGAACAAAUAAAAACCUCUGGAAUGUCUGAACUUGACGAUUCUGUUGACACACCAACGGAAAGGUAAGAACGCAGCCAGGUAACACCCGAGUCCAGUAGUUGAGAUUCUCCCGUCUUGCUUAAACACAGCUCUCUGACGUUUCCGCAAAUAUAUUUUAAGUUGUCUUGUUCUGUUGCUACAAAAGCUGCCUUGCAUGAAAUAGCUUCUACAUGGGGACAUUGAAUUAAGGGAGAUGUAAAUCUGUCUCUUGGCCCAUCAUCUGUCACAUUUUGCUCCAUAACAAACCGUGUCUUUUAUUCCUUUGAGAUGGGGCUGAGCGGCACCUGUCAGGUUCCUUAUGUGCACCGUGGAAAUAAGUGACAGAGCACCUAAAAGCCCCAGAACGCUAUGCAUCUGUCGUUAAGAUGGGCAGAAAUGACGAAAACCACAGUCAGUGAGGCAGACGUCAGUCACUAGCUGUUACCUGACGUCGAGUCCCCCUGCCUUGUCCUUAAAAAACAGACUAGAUUUCCAUAUGAGUGAGGAUGGAUAUAGCUUUAAGACUGAAACAUCCAACUUGCCCUGAGUGACCAUGAUGGAGGCAAGGGAAUGCUGGGAGAUUUUGAGGAAGACAGUCCUAGGGCAGCUGCCUGCACCAGGAGUGAACUGUGAGGUGUCCUCCUUUCUUCUUGUCACAGAAAAAAGCGUCGAAGUCGAUAGAUGUUAAGGUCAAGACCGAGCAGGCUGUUUCGGGGGUGCAUAGAUUUGAACUCUUCGUCGAUGUCCCACUAAUAUAAUCUUCAGAGUUCCUCUCUAGUCUCUGUAUCCCGUCCACGUGUUUAUGAAAGUCCAGCCCUUGCUUUACAGGCAGAGACGCUAAGGAGCUUAAACUAAUUUUGCCUUGAAUCCAAACAGUUGCAUCUUUCGCUCACACCGAGAGAACUCGGUGUCACCCCAAACAUAGAGACUACUUCCUAUACAUGAUUCUGGAAUGUUCAAAUACUUAAAUAAAUGUAGACCUUUAAAACUGCUAGCACUCUGCCUAGGCUCCGCCCCACAGUUACCUGGCAACGGCCAGGUACGCCUGACUCAUUAUAAAAGGAGCUGCUCGUGUGUCCGCCCCCUCCACUCUUGCUCUUGCCUUUUUGCUCCCACUCUGUCCUCUCACCUCUUCACUCCUCUCUCCCCAUUCCCCUCCU
RNAcentral lists this small RNA (11158 nucleotides) under Rattus norvegicus (Norway rat). RNAcentral's name for it is "uncharacterized LOC102547244". The record is from RNAcentral. Lineage: Eukaryota; Metazoa; Chordata; Mammalia; Rodentia; Muridae.